CGGGCUGUGGCGCAGCUUGGUAGCGCGUCUGCUUUGGGAGCAGAAUGUCGCAGGUUCAAAUCCUGUCAGCCCGACGA
RNAcentral lists this transfer RNA (77 nucleotides) under Bifidobacterium pseudolongum subsp. globosum. RNAcentral describes it as "tRNA-Pro". It matches the Rfam family "tRNA". Rfam says of the family: Transfer RNA (tRNA) molecules are approximately 80 nucleotides in length. Their secondary structure includes four short double-helical elements and three loops (D, anti-codon, and T loops). Further hydrogen bonds mediate the characteristic L-shaped molecular structure. tRNAs have two regions of fundamental functional importance: the anti-codon, which is responsible for specific mRNA codon recognition, and the 3' end, to which the tRNAs corresponding amino acid is attached (by aminoacyl-tRNA synthetases). tRNAs cope with the degeneracy of the genetic code in two manners: having more than one tRNA (with a specific anti-codon) for a particular amino acid; and 'wobble' base-pairing, i.e. permitting non-standard base-pairing at the 3rd anti-codon position. Lineage: Bacteria; Bacillati; Actinomycetota; Actinomycetes; Bifidobacteriales; Bifidobacteriaceae. The record is from RNAcentral. RNAcentral also lists the same sequence under 2 other names.